MicroRNA precursor from Prolemur simus (greater bamboo lemur), 61 nucleotides. Lineage: Eukaryota; Metazoa; Chordata; Mammalia; Primates; Lemuridae. The record is from Ensembl.
CAAAGAAUUCUCUUUUUGGGCUUUCUGGUUUUAUUUUAAACCCAAAGGUGAAUUUUUUGGG